RNAcentral lists this ribosomal RNA (96 nucleotides) under Camelus bactrianus (Bactrian camel). RNAcentral also lists the same sequence under 2 other names. The record is from RNAcentral. Lineage: Eukaryota; Metazoa; Chordata; Mammalia; Artiodactyla; Camelidae.
GUCUGUGGUCAUACCACACUGAACACACCUGAUCUUGGAAGCUAAGCAGGGUUGGGCCUGGUUAGUACUUGGAUAGGAGAAUACGUGUUACAAACA